Non-coding RNA from Cladobotryum mycophilum, 104 nucleotides. The record is from the annotation of a GenBank genome assembly. NCBI's taxonomy places the organism in Eukaryota, Fungi, Ascomycota, Sordariomycetes, Hypocreales, Hypocreaceae.
UGGACAGACGGGGAAUUGAACCCCGGACCUCUCCCAAGCUCAUCCAACUCAUUCAUUUGAUUGAAAGAUGCUAAGGGAAAAUCAUACCACUAGACCACCCGCCC